UGUGGCUCAGUGGUAAAGCACUUGCCUCCCACGUGUGAGGCACUGGGUUCAAUCCCCAGCA
Molecule: transfer RNA, 61 nt
Filed under: Ictidomys tridecemlineatus (thirteen-lined ground squirrel)
Lineage: Eukaryota; Metazoa; Chordata; Mammalia; Rodentia; Sciuridae
Description: Spermophilus tridecemlineatus (thirteen-lined ground squirrel) tRNA
Rfam family: tRNA
About the family: Transfer RNA (tRNA) molecules are approximately 80 nucleotides in length. Their secondary structure includes four short double-helical elements and three loops (D, anti-codon, and T loops).
Source: Rfam by way of RNAcentral